GACGAACGCUGGCGGCGUGCCUAAUACAUGCAAGUAGAACGCACAGUUUAUACCGUAGCUUGCUACACCAUAAACUGUGAGUUGCGAACGGGUGAGUAACGCGUAGGUAACCUGCCUGGUAGCGGGGGAUAACUAUUGGAAACGAUAGCUAAUACCGCAUAAUAUUGAUUAUUGCAUGAUAAUUGAUUGAAAGAUGCUAUUGCAUCACUACCAGAUGGACCUGCGUUGUAUUAGCUAGUAGGUGAGGUAACGGCUCACCUAGGCGACGAUACAUAGCCGACCUGAGAGGGUGAUCGGCCACACUGGGACUGAGACACGGCCCAGACUCCUACGGGAGGCAGCAGUAGGGAAUCUUCGGCAAUGGACGAAAGUCUGACCGAGCAACGCCGCGUGAGUGAAGAAGGUUUUCGGAUCGUAAAGCUCUGUUGUAAGAGAAGAACGGGUGUGAGAGUGGAAAGUUCACACUGUGACGGUAUCUGACCAGAAAGGGACGGCUAACUACGUG
RNAcentral lists this ribosomal RNA (505 nucleotides) under uncultured bacterium. Its description in RNAcentral is "partial 16S ribosomal RNA". It matches the Rfam family "Bacterial small subunit ribosomal RNA", at positions 28 to 507 of the family's 1533-position model. The record is from RNAcentral.